This 505-nucleotide ribosomal RNA is filed under the name uncultured bacterium. Its description in RNAcentral is "partial 16S ribosomal RNA". It matches the Rfam family "Bacterial small subunit ribosomal RNA", at positions 28 to 507 of the family's 1533-position model. The record is from RNAcentral.
GACGAACGCUGGCGGCGUGCCUAAUACAUGCAAGUAGAACGCACAGUUUAUAGUGUAGCUUGCUACACCAUAGACUGUGAGUUGCGGACGGGUUAGUAACGCGUAGGUAACCUGCCUGUUAGCGGGGGAUAACUAUUGGAAACGAUAGCUAAUACUGAAUAAUAUUAAUUAUUGCAUGGUCAUUAUUUGAAAGUUGCAAUUUCACCACUACCAGAUGGACCUGCGUUGUAUUAGCAAGUGGGUGAGGUAAGGCCCCACCUAGGCGAGGAAACAUACCCGACCUCAGAGGGGGAUCGGCGACGCUGGGACUGGGACACGGCCCAGAACCCUGCGGGAGGCAGCAGGAGGGAACUUUCGGGAAUGGACGAAAGGCUGACCCAGCCACGACGCGUGAGUGAAGAACGUUGUCGGAUCGUGAAGAUCUGUUAUGAGAGAAGAUCGGGUGUGAGUGUCGACAGUUCACAUUGUGACGGUAUCUGAAGAAGAAGCCACGGCUAACUACGUG